AGCGGCGGAUGGGUGAGUAACACGUGGGGAACCUGCCCCUAAGUCUGGGAUACCAUUUGGAAACAGGUGCUAAUACCGGAUAAUAAAGCAGAUCGCAUGAUCAGCUUUUGAAAGGCGGCGUAAGCUGUCGCUAAGGGAUGGCCCCGCGGUGCAUUAGCUAGUUGGUAAGGUAACGGCUUACCAAGGCGACGAUGCAUAGCCGAGUUGAGAGACAGAUCGGCCACAUUGGGACUGAGACACGGCCCAAACUCCUACGGGAGGCAGCAGUAGGGAAUCUUCCACAAUGGACGCAAGUCUGAUGGAGCAACGCCGCGUGAGUGAAGAAGGUUUUCGGAUCGUAAAGCUCUGUUGUUGGUGAAGAAGGAUAGAGGUAGUAACUGGCCUUUAUUUGACGGUAAUCAACCAGAAAGUCACGGCUAACUACGUGCCAGCAGCCGCGGUAAUACGUAGGUGGCAAGCGUUGUCCGGAUUUAUUGGGCGUAAAGCGAGCGCAGGCGGAAAAAUAAGUCUAAUGUGAAAGCCCUCGGCUUAACCGAGGAACUGCAUCGGAAACUGUUUUUCUUGAGUGCAGAAGAGGAGAGUGGAACUCCAUGCGUAGCGGUGGAAUGCGUAGAUAUAUGGAAGAACACCAGUGGCGAAGGCGGCUCUCUGGUCUGCAACUGACGCUGGGGCUCGAAAGCAUGGGUAGCGAACAGGAUUAGAUACCCUGGUAGUCCAUGCCGUAAACGAUGAGUGCUAAGUGU
Molecule: ribosomal RNA, 743 nt
Filed under: uncultured bacterium
Lineage: Bacteria
Description: bacterial SSU rRNA
Rfam family: Bacterial small subunit ribosomal RNA
Source: RNAcentral